GUCCACGCCGUAACGAUGUCGACUAGCCGUUGGAGCCUUGAGCUCUUAGUGGCGCAGCUAACGCAUUAAGUCGACCGCCUGGGAGUACGGCCGCAAGGUUAAACUCAAAUGAAUUGACGGGGCCCGCACAAGCGGUGGAGCAUGUGGUUUAAUUCGAAGCAACGCGAAGAACCUUACCUGGCCUUGACAUGCUGAGAACUUUCCAGAGAUGGAUUGGUGCCUUCGGGAACAUAGAGACAGGUGCUGCAUGGCUGUCGU
Molecule: ribosomal RNA, 258 nt
Filed under: uncultured bacterium
Lineage: Bacteria
Description: partial 16S ribosomal RNA
Rfam family: Bacterial small subunit ribosomal RNA
Source: RNAcentral